Molecule: ribozyme, 117 nt
Filed under: Aedes aegypti (yellow fever mosquito)
Lineage: Eukaryota; Metazoa; Arthropoda; Insecta; Diptera; Culicidae
Description: drz-agam-1 ribozyme
Rfam family: drz-agam-1 ribozyme
Source: Rfam by way of RNAcentral
UGCCCAGCAACUCCUAUCCCUACCUCCUCGCGGUACUGGCCGGGGUACGAGUAACCUUAGGGAAGAUCGGGUAACCAACCCCCGGUGGGAACUUUGGUCGUAUGCUGACAGGAAAAG